GACGAACGCUGGCGGCGUGCCUAAUACAUGCAAGUAGAACGCUGAAGAGAGGAGCUUGCUCUUCUUGGAUGAGUUGCGAACGGGUGAGUAACGCGUAGGUAACCUGCCUUGUAGCGGGGGAUAACUAUUGGAAACGAUAGCUAAUACCGCAUAACAAUAGGUGACACAUGUCAUUUAUUUGAAAGGGGCAAUUGCUCCACUACAAGAUGGACCUGCGUUGUAUUAGCUAGUAGGUGAGGUAACGGCUCACCUAGGCGACGAUACAUAGCCGACCUGAGAGGGUGAUCGGCCACACUGGGACUGAGACACGGCCCAGACUCCUACGGGAGGCAGCAGUAGGGAAUCUUCGGCAAUGGGGGCAACCCUGACCGAGCAACGCCGCGUGAGUGAAGAAGGUUCUCGGAUCGUAAAGCUCUGUUGUAAGUCAAGAACGAGUGUGAGAGUGGAAAGUUCACACUGUGACGGUAGCUUACCAGAAAGGGACGGCUAACUACGUG
This 497-nucleotide ribosomal RNA is filed under the name uncultured bacterium. RNAcentral's name for it is "partial 16S ribosomal RNA". It matches the Rfam family "Bacterial small subunit ribosomal RNA", at positions 28 to 507 of the family's 1533-position model. The record is from RNAcentral.